This 409-nucleotide ribosomal RNA is filed under the name Brucella melitensis. RNAcentral describes it as "partial 16S ribosomal RNA". It matches the Rfam family "Bacterial small subunit ribosomal RNA", at positions 355 to 776 of the family's 1533-position model. The record is from RNAcentral. RNAcentral also lists the same sequence under 1 other name. Lineage: Bacteria; Pseudomonadati; Pseudomonadota; Alphaproteobacteria; Hyphomicrobiales; Brucellaceae.
UGGGGAAUAUUGCACAAUGGGCGAAAGCCUGAUGCAGCGACGCCGCGUGAGGGAUGACGGCCUUCGGGUUGUAAACCUCUUUCAGCAGGGACGAAGCGCAAGUGACGGUACCUGCAGAAGAAGCACCGGCUAACUACGUGCCAGCAGCCGCGGUAAUACGUAGGGUGCAAGCGUUGUCCGGAAUUACUGGGCGUAAAGAGUUCGUAGGCGGUUUGUCGCGUCGUUUGUGAAAACCAGCAGCUCAACUGCUGGCUUGCAGGCGAUACGGGCAGACUUGAGUACUGCAGGGGAGACUGGAAUUCCUGGUGUAGCGGUGAAAUGCGCAGAUAGCAGGAGGAACACCGGUGGCGAAGGCGGGUCUCUGGGCAGUAACUGACGCUGAGGAACGAAAGCGUGGGUAGCGAACAGG